This 252-nucleotide ribosomal RNA is filed under the name uncultured bacterium. RNAcentral's name for it is "partial 16S ribosomal RNA". It matches the Rfam family "Bacterial small subunit ribosomal RNA", at positions 524 to 776 of the family's 1533-position model. The record is from RNAcentral.
UACGUAGGGGGCUAGCGUUGUCCGGAUUUAUUGGGCGUAAAGAGCGUGUAGGCGGCCAGGUAGGUCUGCUGUGAAAACUCGAGGCUCAACCUCGAGACGUCGGCGGAAACCAUCUGGCUAGAGUCCGGAAGAGGAGAGUGAAUUCCUGGUGUAGCGGUGAAAUGCGCAGAUAUCAGGAAGAACACCCGUGGCGAAGGCGGCUCUCUGGGACGGUACUGACGCUGAGACGCGAAAGCGUGGGGAGCGAACAGG